CACAUGACAGAGGGGUCAAAGGAGCAAUCCGCAGAAGGAGGGGCUCGCGUCCCAUUAGAUAGUUGGUGAGGUAACGGCUCACCAAGUCAGCGAUGGGUAGCCGAGCUGAGAGGCUGAACGGCCACACUGGAACUGAGACACGGUCCAGACUCCUACGGGAGGCAGCAGUGGGGAAUAUUGGGCAAUGGGGGCAACCCUGACCCAGCAACGCCGCGUGAGUGAAGAAGGCCUUCGGAUUGUAAAGCUCUUCGCAGGGGAAGAAAAAAAUGACGGUACCCUGUGAGGAAGCCCCGGCUAACUACGUGCCAGCAGCCGCGGUAAUACGUAGGGGGCGAGCGUUGUCCGGAAUUACUGGGCGUAAAGGGUGCGUAGGUGGCUAUUUAAGUUGGAUGUGAAAUCCCCGGGCUUAACUCGGGGGGUGCAUUUGAAACUGGCAGACUUGAGUGCAAGAGAGGGAAGUGGAAUUCCUAGUGUAGCGGUGAAAUGCGUAGAUAUUAGGAGGAACACCAGUGGCGAAGGCGACUUCCUGGCUUGUAACUGACACUGAGGCGCGAAAGCGUGGGGAUCAAACAGGAUUAGAUACCCUGGUAGUCCACGCCGUAAACGAUGAGUGCUAGGUGUCGGGGGUAUCGACCCCCUUCGGUGCCACAGCUAACGCAUUAAGCACUCCGCCUGGGGAGUACGGUCGCAAGACUGAAACUCAAAGGAAUUGACGGGGGCCCGCACAAGCGGUGGAGUAUGUGGUUUAAUUCGACGCAACGCGAAGAACCUUACCAAGGCUUGACAUCCUGUGACAGCUAUAGAAAUAUGGUUUCCCUUGGAGGUUAUCAUGGAGACAGGUGGUGCAUGGUUGUCGUCAGCUCGUGUCGUGAGAUGUUGGGUUAAGUCCCGCAACGAGCGCAACCCCUACAGCUAGUUGCCAGCACAUAAGGUGGGAACUCUGGCAGAACUGCCGUUGACAAAACGGAGGAAGGUGGGGAUGACGUCAAAUCAUCAUGCCCCUUAUGUCUUGGGCUACACACGUACUACAAUGGCCUGAACAGAGGGAAGCGAAACUGCGAAGUUAAGCGAACCCCUUAAAACAGGUCCCAGUUCGGAUUGUAGGCUGCAACUCGCCUACAUGAAGUUGGAAUCGCUAGUAAUCGCAGGUCAGCAUACUGCGGUGAAUACGUUCCCGGGCAUUGUACACACCACCCGUCC
Molecule: ribosomal RNA, 1200 nt
Filed under: uncultured bacterium
Lineage: Bacteria
Description: bacterial SSU rRNA
Rfam family: Bacterial small subunit ribosomal RNA
Source: RNAcentral